This 789-nucleotide ribosomal RNA is filed under the name Stenotrophomonas pavanii. Its description in RNAcentral is "bacterial SSU rRNA". It matches the Rfam family "Bacterial small subunit ribosomal RNA", at positions 49 to 823 of the family's 1533-position model. The record is from RNAcentral. Lineage: Bacteria; Pseudomonadati; Pseudomonadota; Gammaproteobacteria; Lysobacterales; Lysobacteraceae.
CUACACAUGCAAGUCGAACGGCAGCACAGGAGAUCUUGCUGUUUGGGUGGCGAGUGGCGGACGGGUGAGGAAUGCCUCGGAAUCUGCUCGGUGGAGGGGGAUAACGAAGGGAAACUUACGCUAAUACCGCAUACCACCAAAAGGCGAGAGAGGGGGACCUUCGGGCCUUGUGCGAUUGAAUGAGCCGGUGUGGGAUUAGGUAGGUGGAGGGGGAAAGGCCCGCCAAGGCGAGGAUCCGUACCUGGACUGAGAGGAUGAUCAGUCACACUGGAACUGAGACACGGCCCAGACUCCUACGGGAGGCAGGAAUGGGGAAUAUUGGACAAUGGGCGCAAGCCUGAUCCAGCCAUACCGCGUGGAUGAACAAGGCCUUCGGGUUGUAAAGAACUUUUGAUGGGAAAGAAAUAAAUAUGGCUAAUACCUAUGGGCGAUGACUGUACCCACAGAAUAAGCACCGCUUAACUUCGUGCCAGCAGCCGCGGCAAUACGAACGGUGCAAGCGUUACUCGGAAUUACUGGGCGUAAAGCGAGCGCACGCGGUCGGUUAAGUCCGAUGUGAAAGACCUGGGCUCGACCUGGGAACUGCAUCUGGAUACUGGUAGACUUGAAUGUAGGAUAGGGGUAGUUCCAUUACUGGCGUAGCAGUGAAAUGCGUACAGAUCUGAGUAGGAACAUCCAUGGCCAACGCAGUCGACCUGGACCAACAGUGACACUGAGGCACGAUAGCGAGCGGAGCGAACAAGAUUAGCUACACUGGCAGUCCACGCACUAACGAUGUAGACUGGAUGU